AGUCAUUGGUAGCUUGACGGGGGGGGCAUUGAAUCUAUAAAUUACCUUGGGCAGUAUGACAAUUUUCAUGAUAUUGAUUCUUCCAAUCCAUGAGCAUGGAAUGUUCUUCCAUUUGUUUGUGUCAAGAGAGUAAUAUCUUUCAUAAGAGGCAUGCCCAUGUUCAUCUCAAGUAAAUGUGUGGGGUAUCUUGUUCAUGUGACAAAGAUGAAGACAAAUAAUCAUAAAUAUUUUGAGUAAGAAGACAUGAAAGCUCAUUCAAACUUCUCCAAGAUAUAGGUCAUGAUAAAGUAAUGAGUUGCCCAGGGUCCCUUUGUGACUUAAUAGUAGAACUUAGUUGUAGAGGCAGAAUGGUACUAAGGUUAGGACACACUGAGCUUUGAAGAUAGGUCAAAUUUUUCCAGAAAUGCUGCUGGCUGUCGUCCUAUGCAAAUCACCAAACCUCUCUGAACCUCAGUUUCCCUGCCCACAGGAUGAAAAUCAUCAUAAUACCAACUUCACAGAGUGCUUCUGAGACACAGAAUAAUUUUGAUACAAGCCACAUACCUAGUAUUCAUUUAAAUGAAUGUUCAUAAUGUGUCUGGGUUGCAUGAAGAUGGAAAUGAAAGCCCUUCAAGAUGAGAAGUACUGUACUUUACAAUGAUUAUUCAUGUUAUUGUACAAGUUUUAAUCAUUUCAAAAUCUUAGCACAGAUAUACAAUGACAAUUAAAUUUUUCCUAGUCUGUAUCUGCAGGACUAUUCAGGAAUUGUUCAGUGCAUCAUUUAGCCUGCAAGAAUUAAAGAAUCUUGUGAAAUGAA
Macaca mulatta (Rhesus monkey) is the source of this 796-nucleotide non-coding RNA. NCBI's taxonomy places the organism in Eukaryota, Metazoa, Chordata, Mammalia, Primates, Cercopithecidae. The record is from RefSeq and is a predicted model, not a curated record.